GGCCACAGCCAUAUCACCCUGCAGCCCAAGACUGGUUGCCCACUGAAGCUAAGCAGGGCUGAGCCUGGUCAGUACCUGGAUGGGAGACCUCCUGGGAAAACUAGGUUGCUGUUUUGA
Molecule: ribosomal RNA, 117 nt
Filed under: Sinocyclocheilus anshuiensis
Lineage: Eukaryota; Metazoa; Chordata; Actinopteri; Cypriniformes; Cyprinidae
Source: RNAcentral